AGAUUUGAAGAACAUGGCGCAAAAUAUGCAGCCGAAGUACAAAUAAUUAUGACAAAUGUUAAGAAAUUGUUGAGCAAUGUAAUAAAGUAAUUACUUUUCAAAUAAGUUACCUUACAUGUUAUGUUGGCUGACAAUUUGUUAGCUACGCUGUCCUUACGAACCACAUAGCAUAUCAUUACAGCAUGUACCGGUGUUAUUUGGCUACUUAUACAUCAAACUUGUCAGUAUAUUAACUAUAGGCUAUCUAACUACCCGUGUCAUAGGUUUAUUGACUUGAUUAUUCCCGUCAUUCUUUGUUUAGCUAAAUGUUAUAGUCGUUGUGCGUUCUCAAUGGAUAUUCGGGUGCUUUCGUAAAUUCGCUCUGGCUAUCAACUCCGAUUUCGCCUGAGUGUACGCGCGCUCAACACUGGUUGAAUAUGGCCGGUGUCAGUAAACGUCGGGGAAAAAGCGUUAUUAAAUUGUUGCAAGCAGCACAUUCAGUCACCAACGCUCUGGAUAACAUGAAAACUGUAACAUGAAAACUGCCUAAACAGCUGUGCUUGGGUCCUGAAGGACGCCUCACUGUCCUCAGAGCUGUUUGGCUUCUAUGAGAGGACCAUCUCUACCAGCACUCAUGGGUCACCCAAGGCCCAAAUCACCCUGACUUGAUAGGUGACCAGUCGCCUGUAAGCGGUGGACAGCCUCCCUAUGAGCCGGGCGCUAGGCUUCGGAGCCAAAUACCUGCAGGAUCACUUCUCUUCCUGGGCCAGACAGGGUGGAUAUGUACAUACAAACAGAGAUAUAUAUUGCCUAUAGUACUGGAGGUCCACCUUCUUGCUUCUAUCAAUGAUCUACAGCUGACAAAAAUGUCAAUGCUAUUUUGUGAGAUGUUGAGCAAUGAUCAAUACAGUUUUAAUUUCUCUCUCAACAGGAGGAAGCUUUUGUGAAUGAUGAUGAGGAGGUAGUAGACUGAGCCAGAGGGAUUUUCCCCAUUCUAUACCCCCAUUGUCUUCUUCCCGAUUAUCCACUCUUUUCCCAAAGUAUGCACUUGCGCAUUUUCUGUCAUGGAUCAGAAUUUGAUUGGUGUAAUUAUUGGCUAAAGGAAGUUCCCACCAUUGUUAAAUCUAUGACAGGAGGGAAAGGGUGGAUAAUUGGGAUCUAGCUCUCUAACCCCUAGAGAAGUUUCAACUCAGUUUCAAACGUUGAUUUUGCACAACGAAACAUGUACAUAGACAUAUAGAUGACUGUCUUCCAGAGCCAUAGGAUAUGAGGGAAACUGUUCAUCUCAAGCCCCAUUCCAUCUUUUGAAUUAUAAACGUAUAUGAUAUAAGAAUGUAUAUGAAAGUACAGUAUUCAGGUGUUUUUGUUACAACAUUUUAAUUUGGACUAUAGGAAUGUAAAACAUAGACAUCUGUUGAAUGAAACAUAUUUACUUGUAUUAUUUUACAUUAUAUUUAGUUAUUUACUUUUUUAUUGUAAAAAUGAUGAUGAGACUGCAUACCAUUGAUCUAGCCUUGUCACACCGUGAUCUGUUUCACCUGUCCUUGUGCUUGUCUCCUCCCCCCUCCAGGUGUCGCCCAUCUUCCAUAUUAUCACCUGUGUAUUUAUACCUGUGUUCUGUCUUGAUUGUUGCCAGUUUGUCUUGUUUGUUCAAGCUUACCAGCGGUUUUCCUGUCAGCGCCUAUUGUUUCCAAGCCUUGCUUUGCUAGUCCUCCUGGUUUUGACCGAUGCCUGACCCUGCACCGUUGCUCCACCUCUGGAUUGCUGAACCCUGCCUGACCCUGAGUCUGCCUGCCGUCCUGUACCGUCGCCUAACCCUUGAUUUUCGACCCCUUCCUGCCUUGACCUGUCUUUGCCUGCCCCUGUUUGCUACAGUAAACAGGGUUACUUCGACAGUCUGCAUCUGGGUCUUACCUUGAUUCUUGAUAAGCCUAUACUGUCAGAUCCAAAUAAUGUUUACAUAAAGCAACAUUACCAAAGAUGUCAACAUUCCAGACCUCCAGGACAUGUCCUCAGUUGAUCCAGAGAUGGAACCACUAUAUGGUUAAAUCAUGACUGGACCAACAACUGGGGCAGCUACUGUAGCCUACGUAUACUGUGUGGAAGUGCUUCUAUUCUGAGUGGUAUAUGGUCAAACGGUAAUUCUGUGUGCUGAGUCUAUGCAUUGGAAUGUCUGCCUUAUUUGUUUAAUAAGACCAAUUAAACAAAUUCCAUGUUAUGAUUAUAGUGUUCAAUGUUAACACUGAUUUAGACAGCUUUGUGACUGUUUGAUUUGUUAUUAAUUUAUUGAAUAAAAAUAGAUAUACUGUGCUCCUGAGUGGCGCAGAGGUCUAAGGCACUGCAUCUCAGUGCUAGAGGCGUCACUACAGACCCUGAUUUCGAAUCCAGGCUGUUUCACAACUGGCCGUGAUUGCGAGUCCGCACAAUUGGCCCAGCGUCAUCCGGGUUUGGCCGGUGUAGGCCGUCAUUGUAAAUAAGAUUUUGUUGUAAGAAUGAUGAUGAUCUAGCCUUGUCAUGCCCUGAUCAGUUUCACCUGUCCUUGUGCUUGUCUCCUUACUUGCCUAGUUAAAUACAAAAUACUGAGAAGACUCCUAA
Molecule: long non-coding RNA, 2574 nt
Organism: Salvelinus fontinalis (brook trout)
Lineage: Eukaryota; Metazoa; Chordata; Actinopteri; Salmoniformes; Salmonidae
Exons: 3
Source: RefSeq, a predicted model, not a curated record